GACACAUUUACAUUAAUUGCUAAAAACUGAUAAGGCUGUGUCAAAAAAAUUAAAAAUUAAAAACAAAAAAAAUCGGAUGAACAGUCCCUCCUUUAUUUUAUUGGGAAAAAUAAGAUAAAUUUAUUCGACAAUGUGCCACGUGUUCUGAUACCUACCUUGCAUAGCAUUAGUGUAUGUUAUACAAAUAAUAGUUAUAACAUAGUUUACUUACAUCAGUUACAAAUUACUUUGUGUGUGCAUAUUUGCAUAAUGACUAAUGCACAUGGUGCUAUAUUAUAUGAUAUAUGGAUUAUAUAAUUUAUUAUUAGUUGUGGUACAAAGAUAAUCCCAAAAGAAUGUAACUACAGUAUGGGCAAAGUUGAGAUUAUCGGGAAAGGAAUAUUAUGACAUUACUAUAUAAAAGUGGAAAUAGUCAUUAGAUUGCACGAACCAAGCUGUGGUCGUGUGAUUGGGAUUUACUUGUAUUUGAUCAUUUUUAUCACGCUCCACAAUGAAUUGCGGACCACUAGACCAAGGCGAGGGAAGCAAUGGAUUAAGGUAUAAAUUUCAUGUAACACAUGAAAAAUUUUAGUACAGAUUAUAAGUUGUUUUCUAGUUAUAAAUGUAGGAGCAACGAGUACGGUAUUGGUGUUGGGGAUCGUCACAAGAAAGCAGAUAGAAUUUUUCUACUGGCCACUCGGAUGGUCACUUGGUAAUGCUGACCAACAACAGUUGCUACAUUGUAUUAAUUGUUAGUUGAACUUCAUAUCCAAGGAAGGAUUUGUACUUCUGGAUAAAAGCAUGGUCUGGUCAUGGUCGGAUAGUGGGACUCCCAUAAUAGGAGCAAAUGGCUAGGACAAGAUAGCUAUAAGAGACACUAAUUCUGUGUGGAGUUAUCGAAUAUGAAGAUUUUGGGUUCAUGGAUUUGAG
This 909-nucleotide long non-coding RNA is filed under the name Olea europaea subsp. europaea. Lineage: Eukaryota; Viridiplantae; Streptophyta; Magnoliopsida; Lamiales; Oleaceae. The record is from RNAcentral.